UUAUGAUUCCUAUUCUUCAUGGAAGCCUGUCUGGAUUCAUAUGCUUUUUUUUCUCCGUUGUCAAAAUUGUCACUUUUGAAUGGAGAUCAGAGCAGAAUUGAACUGAAGAUAAGUGGUCCAUGAAUGUGUAUUGUAGCAGAUGGAAGUACAGACAUGGAUUUAAGAGCUUUGAUGCUUUUGGAUGUUUAAUUCAGAUUUGGUAAAUGACGUGGAAUAAGAUACUGCCUGAACAAGCUGAAAUGCCUUGAAGACUUUUGGUUCUG
RNAcentral lists this long non-coding RNA (263 nucleotides) under Phasianus colchicus (ring-necked pheasant). RNAcentral describes it as "lncRNA (ENSPCLG00000015560.1)". The record is from RNAcentral. Lineage: Eukaryota; Metazoa; Chordata; Aves; Galliformes; Phasianidae.